Molecule: transfer RNA, 87 nt
Filed under: Gemmatimonadota bacterium
Lineage: Bacteria; Pseudomonadati; Gemmatimonadota
Also listed under: 1 other name
Description: Gemmatimonadetes bacterium tRNA-Ser
Rfam family: tRNA
About the family: Transfer RNA (tRNA) molecules are approximately 80 nucleotides in length. Their secondary structure includes four short double-helical elements and three loops (D, anti-codon, and T loops).
Source: RNAcentral
GGAACGGUGGCAGAGCCUGGCUGAUUGCGUCGCCUUGCUAAGGCGAAGGCCCUCACGGGUCCGGGGGUUCAAAUCCCUCCCGUUCCU